Molecule: ribosomal RNA, 468 nt
Filed under: uncultured bacterium
Lineage: Bacteria
Description: partial 16S ribosomal RNA
Rfam family: Bacterial small subunit ribosomal RNA
Source: RNAcentral
GACGAACGCUGGCGGCGUGCUUAACACAUGCAAGUCGAACGGAAAGGCCCUGCUUUUGUGGGGUGCUCGAGUGGCGAACGGGUGAGUAACACGUGAGUAACCUGCCCUUGACUUUGGGAUAACUUCAGGAAACUGGGGCUAAUACCGGAUAGGAGCUCCUGCUGCAUGGUGGGGGUUGGAAAGUUUCGGCGGUUGGGGAUGGACUCGCGGCUUAUCAGCUUGUUGGUGGGGUAGUGGCUUACUAAGGCUUUGACGGGUAGCCGGCCUGAGAGGGUGACCGGCCACAUUGGGACUGAGAUACGGCCCAGACGCCUACGGGAGGCAGCAGUGGGGAAUAUUGCACAAUGGGCGGAAGCCUGAUGCAUCAACGCCGCGUGCGGGAUGACGGCCUUCGGGUUGUAAACCGCUUUCGCCUGUGACGAAGCGUGAGUGACGGUAAUGGGUAGAGAAGCACCGGCUAACUACGUG